RNAcentral lists this non-coding RNA (24 nucleotides) under Arabidopsis thaliana (thale cress). Lineage: Eukaryota; Viridiplantae; Streptophyta; Magnoliopsida; Brassicales; Brassicaceae. The record is from RNAcentral.
AUAAAUCGUUCCGCGGUAUACUGC